Long non-coding RNA from Centropristis striata (black sea bass), 4004 nucleotides. RefSeq lists it as uncharacterized. The transcript has 2 exons. Lineage: Eukaryota; Metazoa; Chordata; Actinopteri; Perciformes; Serranidae. The record is from RefSeq and is a predicted model, not a curated record.
UCAACUCAUUGGACAUCCCACAAAGUUCAGUUUAAUCCAUCAAUAAGAAAUGGAAGCAGUAUGGCACUUGUUUAAAUCUGCCUAGAGCUGGCCGUCCUCACAUCUGAGUGAGUGUAUGUUAUUGAGGUGCUAUAAUGAAGAUGCAAUGUAGAAAAGUGCAAAGUGCAGAGCAGCAUGGAGAUGCACUUGUAAACAUGUAUGCUAUUCUGCAUUUAAAGAGAAUAGUGCAGAAUGUUGGGUUAUUUUAAGUUAUUUUGGCAGUCUUUGUUUGUGUCAUGAUCAUGGUGGUUUACUGAGGUUGUUGAGUAGUCUGAUGGCAUGAGGGGAAAAGCUGGUAAUGAGUCUGGUGGUUUUGCGGCACAGAUCUUUCCGGCAAUGUAGCCGAACGGCACGAUGACAGGUUUAGUGUCUCUUUACAAAUGUUGCUCCUGACUCUGAGUCAGCAUCACUAUGGACGUAGAUAACGUUCUUAUUAAAGCUGACCAGGAGUGGUUGAGCCCAGCAGAGUGGUGUCUCUGUGGAACCAGAGUUCCUGCAGAGAGUCCAAACACCAGCAACUGGUCCCCAGCGCUUCAAGUGCACUGCACCGAGUCGGAUCUCUCCGGUGUGGGAAAAGAAAAAGGCCUACAUUUAAAGACCUAGUUUGAGUUAAUGAGCUGGCCUACCAAUGGCAUGAGACGCAGCUCUGCCUCACUCACACUAACAUUACUGUCCAGUCAGAAGUAGAGUGGGGCUGCAGAGUCCAGCUGAGCUCAGGGAGGCAGGUGCUGAGGCGGAGACGAUGGAGAGUUAGUUAAUGACACCUGGAGUACUGAACGGAGUACUAUCACCCCCUACUGACCUGUCUUCGUAUUGCUGUUUCAGAAACCCCUACAGUCUGCAGUCUGAGCCUGUCGAGGGCUGUUUGCAACUAGUGUCAGGGAAAAUCAUUUUCAGAUAAUGAUCUUUUUGUGGGACGGCUCAGAGCUCUCCACCUGAGAGAAACUCAAAACCACCUCCUAAAACCUGAAAACCUGCACAGAAAGUUUCCUAAAUAUUAAUUUCUCAGUUUUUUUGCAGCUGUGAGUUUCAGUUUGAACAAUGAGCAGCAGGCUGGGCUGAUCAACACCACUAACUGUGACCGUGUGUGUGUGUGUGUGUGUGUGUGUGUGUGUCUGUGUGUGUGUGUGUGUGUAGCCUGCUCUCCUGUACCUGGUCCCGGCCUGCGUGGGAUUCCCCGUCAUCGUAGCGCUGAUCAAAGGAGAGCUCACAGAGAUGUUCAGGUACGAGGAGACUCCUCCGGAGGACUCUGAGCCUAAAGAGGACACAGAAGAAAAGAAGGACCAAUAGCCCCUCCUCCCCUGCUCCCCCCCCCAGCCUGCUGCCGCCACAUUUCACGAAGCCCUGCCCAACUCUCCUGCUUCCUGUCUGUUGCCAGGGAAACGUUGUUUGUGUGAUCACCGUGGGAGCGCGGUGGUCUUUGUGGUUAAAGUUGCUCAGACUCUUUCUGUACGCCGGGCGCUGCGACGUCAUCACAUUUCUUCUUUGUGUGUCUGCGGCUUGCCGGCUCAGGUUUGCCUCGUUUCCUCCGCACGGCUCCGCUCCAGUUCCGCCUCUUACAGCUGCAGGUUGGUCCUCAGUGUUAAAACUGCCAUGACGUCAUCUUCAAUCUCCGGUUGUAGCUCCAGCUCUGCUCUGGUUACAGCUCCGGUUCGGUUCCAGUCCGCCUCUUAGAGCUACAGGUUGUUCCUCAGUGUUAAAACUGCCGUGAAGUCCUCUUCAAUCUCCGGUUCCUGCUCCACUCCGGUGCCAGCUCUAUUUCCAGCUCCACCUCUUACAUCUACAGGAUGUUCCUCAGUGUUAAAACUGCCAUGACGUCAUCUUAAACGUGUCGCUGUUAUCAUCAUACAAACAGAAGAACCUGUUGUACGCAGUAGGAACAGCGCCAACUCCACACAGUGGCCAGACGGUGGAGUUACACCUUCUGUGUCGCCUCGUGCGUCAGUAAAUCAGCGGAUCAUUUCUUUAGGUUACAUCCCAGUAGGAACACCUAAUAACGCCGCGUCAAACAUGAUUUCUUAUGUAAAGGAAGAUGAAGAAGCCUUAAGUACGGUGGCCCUGAGAGCUCACAGCGCUGCAGCCUAAGAAAACACAUGCAAAUACACAAAACACAAGCAAACUGAGAAAACAUCAUCAAUUUGACAACACAAGAACAGCGUUUAGAAAACGCUGCAAAGACCACAACACAACAGAAGUGUUUCCAGAGGACACUUAAAAAUGAUGCACACGUCUGGACACGUUGGUGAUAUUAUCAUGUUUCUGUUGUGUUGUGGUCUUUGCAGCGUUUUCUAAAUGCUGUUCUUGUGUUCUUGUGAGCUUUAAGGGACACCUUACUUAAUACCUACCAGCUGAUAUUAACAUGGUGCAAAACCAAAACCGGAGCAAGCGGAGCUGCCGGACCAAGCCUUGCGGAGGAAAUGCGGCAAAAGACCUGAAACCAUAAAACUUCCACUGUUGGUUUCUGAUCAGCCUCUAAAGUGGAAAAAUCCAGCUUCUGUUGUUUAGUUUAAAGCGCCUUGGUCUCCAGGUGCUCCAGGUUCUACCUUCUGCUUUCUCACAUUGCUGUUUUUCUUUUAGUUCUUGUUUUGUUUUUUUAUUUGUUUUAUAGUUUCUUGUUAAAGGCCAGAACUUUAAGCGGAUGCAUCCAGUUCAGAAGUUGUUUUUUUAAAUUAUUUUGUCCCAGCUGUUCGGUGUUUACAUGUGAGUCAGCUUUUAAAGCUGCAGGGAUGUUGGGAAGCAGCUGUUUGUCCCAGGAGUCAGUCAACACCUGCACUCUGGAGAAACAAAGGUACGGCAGCUGAAAACCAAAGGGACAAAAUGUUUCGGCUUCUUCUCCUCAGUUCCGCUUCUGGUUUUCCUGAUUUCUUUCCCCGCCUGCUUAAAUAAAGUCGACUGAAAGCUCUGAAUAUUAGUUUCAGUCUUAAAGUUCUGGCCUGAGGAGUAAAGGGAGGAGGAGGUCAUGAACCUGCUGAAUAAUUCCAGUCCUCAUUCUCACUUCUGAUUGGCCGAGGAGGCUGCGAGGGGCGGGGCCCCGUUUCCUCCUCAGCUAAGAAAAACUGAGAACAGCAAGGUUUCUUUUCAACAAGCGUUCUGUGUUUUGAAACUGAAUUAUUUGGUUUUUGGACAAAACCAUUAAAAAAAGUGUAAUCAUGGAACAUGGAAAUAAAAAACUGAAUGUAACGUAAUUUUUCCCUCUUUUUCUUUGUUUUAUAAAGUCAUGAGAGCAAAAACAUUCAGCAGCAACAUCAGGAAUUAAAGGAAAUCGAUGUUACUCUGCAUGUUUGAAAUGGUAAAUUUGUUCCAAUAAGUCGCAGAAUUUAGAGAGAAAAGUCUGAAGUUUGGUAUUAAGUGGCCUUUCAAAUUUAUGUACAUUUAGAAACUCACAAGAUUAAGGAAAAGUGUCAAAAUUGAAGCAGCAGAACCUAAAAUAUCAACUAUUAUCCCUCCAAGUCCUGCAAACAAACAAACAAACCCCCAAACAUAAUGAAAAAUACAUUUCCCAAAAUUUGCCACUCCUUUGUUUUGAGUGACUGUUUUUGCAAAAAUGGCCCCAAAAUUAUGAUUUAUUGUGAACUCAAACACUUUUUAUUUCUCUAAUUUUAAUUAUUUAAGGCUUUUGGGAAAGUAUUUUUUCUUUAUUGAAAUUAAAACAUUGCGCUGCUGCAGGUGAAUCUUCUGACUGGACGUAUUCAGCCUCUCGCUCUUAUUCUUGAUGUUUCUUGGUGUUGUUGCUUUAAUCAGAGAUGCACAGUUUUGUAUUUUGAUGUAAAACAUGAAAAGUAACAGCAGCGUUCAGCUCCGUGACGUUCAGUAGCCUCAUCAUUUAUAAUCUAAGGUACCUGAAUGUUUUAUGUUCUUCUUUCUCUCUGGUUGCAUUUGUGCUCGAGGUCGUUUCACGGCCCGACUGUAUCUUCUUUUAUUUGCAAUAAACUUUUUGGUGUUUUGAUCACCGUAUAGAAGCAUAA